CAAGGAACUAAGAGUUUAUGGGGGAUACCUUGGCAUUCAGAAGCGAUGAAGGACGUGGUUACCGACGAUAUGCUUCGGGGAGCUGGAAACAAGCUAUGAUCCGGAGGUUUCCGAAUGAGGCAACUUUUUAACUACUUAUUGAAUUCAUAGAUAAGAAAGAGCAAACCUAGAGAAUUGAAACAUCUUAGUACCUAGAGGAAAAGAAAGUAAAAACGAUUCCCUGAGUAGCGGCGAGCGAAACGGGAUUAGCCUAAACUUAAUUAUAAAUUAAGGGUAGUGGGACAAUAAUAAAGAAUUUAAUGGAACGAUUAGAGGAAUAAGUUUGGAAUACUUAACCAUAGAGAGUGAUAGUCUCGUACUCGAAAAUUGAACCAAUUCAAUUGUAUCCCAAGUAGCAUGGAGCACGUGAAAUUCCGUGUGAAUCUGCGAGGACCACCUCGUAAGGCUAAAUAUUCCUGAAUGACCGAUAGUGAAACAGUACCGUGAGGGAAAGGUGAAAAGAACCCCGGGAGGGGAGUGAAAAGAACAUGAAACCAUAAACUUACAAGCAGUAGGAGGACGACUUAACGUCUGACUGCGUGCCUGUUGAAGAAUGAGCCGGCGACUUAUAGUUAGUGGCAGGUUAAAGUAGUGAAUACUGAAGCCACAGUGAAAGCGAGCCUGAAUAGGGCGUUUGUCACUAGUUAUAGACCCGAACCCGGAUGAUCUAACCAUGGUCAGGUUGAAGCUCAGGUAAUACUGAGUGGAGGACCGAACCGACUGAUGUUGAAAAAUCAGCGGAUGAAUUGUGGUUAGGGGUGAAAUGCCAAUCGAAUUCGGAGCUAGCUGGUUCUCCCCGAAAUGCGUUUUGGCGCAGCGGUAAAUGUUAUAAUCUAGGGGUAAAGCACUGUUACGUAUGCGGGCUGGUAAUUCGGUACCAAAUCGUUGCAAACUAAGAAUACUAGAUGUAUAGUUUACCAGUAAGACUGUGGGGGAUAAGCUCCAUUGUCAAGAGGGAAACAGCCCAGAGCACCAGUUAAGGCCCUUAAAUAAUUACUAAGUGGUAAAGGAGGUGGGAGUGCAUAGACAAUCAGGAGGUUUGCUUAGAAGCAGCAAUCCUUUAAAGAGUGCGUAAUAGCUCACUGAUCGAGUAAACCUGCGCCGAAAAUGUAUGGGACUAAGUAAUUUGCCGAAACUGUGCGAUAUAUAUUUAUAUAUCGGUAGGGGAGCGUUCUGUUGUAGGUCGAAGUAUUAGCGUAAGCGGAUAUGGACGAAGCAGAAGUGAGAAUGUCGGCUUGAGUAACGAAAAUAUAGGUGAGAAUCCUAUACCCCGAAAACCCAAGGUUUCCUCCGGAAGGCUCGUCCGCGGAGGGUAAGUCAGGACCUAAGGCGAGGCUGAAAAGCGUAGUCGAUGGACAACGGGUUAAUAUUCCCGUACCAUUUUUUAUUGAUAUCGAGGGACGGAGAAGGCUAAGCUAGCCGGAUAUUGGUUUUACCGGUUUAAACGUUCGAGAUGUUGAGAAGCGGCGAAAACGCUUUGAGUUGAGACGUGAAUACGAGACACUAAGGUGUUGAAGUAGUGUAUGUCAUACUUCCAAGAAAAGCUUGCACUGUCAUAAAUAAAAAAUGCCUGUACCAUAACCGACACAGGUGGGUAGGUAGAGUAUACUAAGGGGCGCGAGAUAACUCUCUCUAAGGAACUCGGCAAAAUAACUCCGUAACUUCGGGAGAAGGAGUGCCUUAUUUAUAAGGUUGCAAUAACAAGAUCCAAGCAACUGUUUAUCAAAAACACAGGUCUCCGCUAAGUCGUAAGACGAUGUAUGGGGGCUGACGCCUGCCCAGUGCCAGAAGGUUAAAGAAGUUGGUUAGCAAUAGCGAAGCUGGUAACUGAAGCCCUGGUGAACGGCGGCCGUAACAAUAACGGUCCUAAGGUAGCGAAAUUCCUUGUCGGGU
Molecule: ribosomal RNA, 1932 nt
Filed under: Thalassiosira rotula
Lineage: Eukaryota; Bacillariophyta; Thalassiosirophyceae; Thalassiosirales; Thalassiosiraceae
Description: partial Bacterial large subunit ribosomal RNA
Rfam family: Bacterial large subunit ribosomal RNA
Source: RNAcentral